AUUGCAUUAGACAAAGGAGUUAAGGGCUGCACUUAAAAACAAUACAUUUUUAUUGUUUUUAAGUGCAGCUCUUAACUCCUUUGUCUGU
Molecule: non-coding RNA, 88 nt
Organism: Pelobates cultripes (western spadefoot toad)
Lineage: Eukaryota; Metazoa; Chordata; Amphibia; Anura; Pelobatidae
Source: the annotation of a GenBank genome assembly